GGAGGCAGCAGUGAGGAAUAUUGGUCAAUGGGCGCUAGCCUGAACCAGCCAAGUAGCGUGAAGGAUGACUGCCCUAUGGGUUGUAAACUUCUUUUAUAUGGGAAUAAAGUGCAGUAUGUAUACUGCUUUGCAUGUACCUUAUGAAUAAGGAUCGGCUAACUCCGUGCCAGCAGCCGCGGUAAUACGGAGGAUCCGAGCGUUAUCCGGAUUUAUUGGGUUUAAAGGGAGCGUAGGCGGGUUGUUAAGUCAGUUGUGAAAGUUUGCGGCUCAACCGUAAAAUUGCAGUUGAUACUGGCAUCCUUGAGUACAGUAGAGGUAGGCGGAAUUCGUGGUGUAGCGGUGAAAUGCUUAGAUAUCACGAAGAACUCCGAUUGCGAAGGCAGCCUGCUGGACUGUAACUGACGCUGAUGCUCGAAAGUGUGGGUAUCAAACAGGAUUAGAUACCCUGGUAGUCCACACAGUAAACGAUGAAUACUCGCUGUUUGCGAUAUACAGUAA
RNAcentral lists this ribosomal RNA (498 nucleotides) under uncultured bacterium. RNAcentral's name for it is "bacterial SSU rRNA". It matches the Rfam family "Bacterial small subunit ribosomal RNA", at positions 344 to 842 of the family's 1533-position model. The record is from RNAcentral.